UGCCGAUUGACGCGUCGGUGAUGGUAUAAUGUCGUGAUCAAUAACCAAUCGGUAAUGGUAUAAGGCAGCAGUGAUUUUUUUCCAUCAGCUAGUUGGCAACUUCUGCAAAAGCCGAAUGGACAACAUCCGCAGGUCAUGCUGUUCCGUGUCCCCUCUGUCACGAUCGCACAGGUUUGACACAUCUCCAAACCAAAUCAAAUUUGAAUUGCGCAUAUUCUCGCAUCACAGAAUGUGGUCGACAACCCUUUAAUACAUUUGAAAAUCUAAGGUUUUUUAUAUCAUCUCAUUGGCUGUGUAUAUUCUGAUGAUUGGCGUUUGUGGUUAAACCAAAGUCAAACUGGCUGAUUGAUAUAUCUGACUGAUAAAAACAUGAAGGUAGUAUACGCAUAACGGAAUAAAUGCGCUUAAGUCGUGCGGGAUUGACGUUCUGUAUAGAGAUCGUUGUCGUAUAAUAUUUGCUUAGUUUUUUGCUACAAGCAGUCAAGCAAAAAAACGGCAACG
This is a long non-coding RNA of Daphnia pulicaria, 501 nucleotides long. RefSeq lists it as uncharacterized. NCBI's taxonomy places the organism in Eukaryota, Metazoa, Arthropoda, Branchiopoda, Diplostraca, Daphniidae. The transcript is spliced from 2 exons. The record is from RefSeq and is a predicted model, not a curated record.